Molecule: ribosomal RNA, 253 nt
Filed under: uncultured bacterium
Lineage: Bacteria
Description: partial 16S ribosomal RNA
Rfam family: Bacterial small subunit ribosomal RNA
Source: RNAcentral
UACGAAGGGGGCUAGCGUUGCUCGGAAUCACUGGGCGUAAAGCGCACGUAGGCGGCUUUUUAAGUCAGAGGUGAAAUCCUGGAGCUCAACUCCAGAACUGCCUUUGAUACUGGAGAGCUUGAGUCCGGGAGAGGUGAGUGGAACUGCGAGUGUAGAGGUGAAAUUCGUAGAUAUUAGGAAGAACACCAGUGGCGAAGGCGACUCACUGGUCCGGUACUGACGCUGAGGUGCGAAAGCGUGGGGAGCAAACAGG